RNAcentral lists this ribosomal RNA (442 nucleotides) under uncultured bacterium. RNAcentral's name for it is "bacterial SSU rRNA". It matches the Rfam family "Bacterial small subunit ribosomal RNA", at positions 335 to 795 of the family's 1533-position model. The record is from RNAcentral.
UGCCUACGGGCGGCUGCAGUAGGGAAUAUUGGUAAUCUGGGAAACCGGGAACCAGCAACGCCGCGUGCACGAUGAAGGCCUUCGGGUCGUAAAGUGCUUUUUGAAGGGAUGAGGAAGGACAGUACCUUCAGAAUAAGCCUCGGCUAACUACGUGCCAGCAGCCGCGGUAAAACGUAGGAGGCGAGCGUUAUCCGGAUUUACUGGGCGUAAAGCGUGUGUAGGCGGUUUGAUAAGUUGGAUGUGAAAGCUCCCGGCUCAACUGGGAGAGGUCGUUCAAAACUAUCAGACUAGAGAGUGGUAGAGGGAGGUGGAAUUCCGCGUGUAGUGGUGAAAUGCGUAGAUAUGCGGAGGAACACCAGUGGCGAAAGCGGCCUCCUGGCCCAUUUCUGACGCUCAGACACGAAAGCUAAGGUAGCAAACGGGAUUAGAUACCCCAGUAGUC